RNAcentral lists this non-coding RNA (32 nucleotides) under Homo sapiens (human). Lineage: Eukaryota; Metazoa; Chordata; Mammalia; Primates; Hominidae. The record is from RNAcentral.
UGGCGAUAAGGGCAAUGUCUGCACACUCUAGC